CAUCAUGAUUUAGCAAGUAAAAUGCAAGCAAAGAGACCUUUAGUUUGUAACCCCGAAACUGAGCGAGCUACUCCAGGACAGCCUAUUAUUAGGGCAAACCCGUCUCUGUGGCAAAAGAGUGGGAAGAUCUUUGGGUAGAGGUGACAAACCUACCGAGCACAGUAAUAGCUGGUUGCCUGGGAAUUGAAUAGAAGUUCAGCCCUUUAAGUUUUCCUAACCACACAAGCAACGCUCACACUGGUAAAGAUAGCUAAAGGAGUUAGUCAGAAAGGGUACAGCCUUCCUGACAAGAGACACAACUUUUACAGGUGACACAAGAUCAUAAUACUAGAGGACUUCAAAUUAAGUGGGCCUGAAAGCAGCCAUCUUAACAGAAAGCGUUAAAGCUCAAAUUAAGUCUAAUCCCCGUAUUCUGAUACAAAAUCUUCCUCCCUGCCCCCUACCAGGCUGUCUUAUGCCCCCAUAAGAGCAAUUAUGCUAAAAUGAGUAAUAAGAAGACACGAUCUUCUCCUAGCACAUGUGUAAGUUGGAACGGACCCCCCACCGACUGUUAAUCGACCCCACCCCCAGAGGGGAUAAAGCAACACCCACAAGAAAGACACUUUAUUCGUAUCGUUGACCCCACACAGGCGUGCCCGAAGGAAAGACUAAACGAGGGGGAAGGAACUCGGCAAACAAAAGCCCCGCCUGUUUACCAAAAACAUCGCCUCUUGCCCUCCCCUCAUAAGAGGUCCCGCCUGCCCUGUGACUAUAUGUUUAACGGCCGCGGUAUUUUAACCGUGCGAAGGUAGCGUAAUCACUUGUCUUUUAAAUGAAGACCUGUAUGAAUGGCAUCACGAGGGCUUAACUGUCUCCCCCCUCCAGUCAAUGAAAUUGACCUCCCCGUG
Molecule: ribosomal RNA, 887 nt
Filed under: Urophycis regia (spotted codling)
Lineage: Eukaryota; Metazoa; Chordata; Actinopteri; Gadiformes; Phycidae
Description: partial 16S ribosomal RNA
Rfam family: Bacterial large subunit ribosomal RNA
Source: RNAcentral